RNAcentral lists this ribosomal RNA (1012 nucleotides) under uncultured bacterium. RNAcentral describes it as "bacterial SSU rRNA". It matches the Rfam family "Bacterial small subunit ribosomal RNA", at positions 471 to 1482 of the family's 1533-position model. The record is from RNAcentral.
GACGGUACUUGAUGAAUAAGCCACGGCUAAUUCCGUGCCAGCAGCCGCGGUAAUACGGGAGUGGCAAGCGUUAUCCGGAAUUAUUGGGCGUAAAGCGUCCGCAGGCGGCCCUUCAAGUCUGCUGUUAAAAAGUGGAGCUUAACUCCAUCAUUGGCAGUGAAACUGUUGGGCUUGAGUGUGGUAGGGGCAGAGGGAAUUCCCGGGUGUAGCGGUGAAAUGCGUAGAUAUCGGGAAGAACACCAGUGGCGAAGGCGCUCUGCUGGGCCAUCACUGACGCUCAUGGACGAAAGCCAGGGGAGCGAAAGGGAUUAGAUACCCCUGUAGUCCUGGCCGUAAACGAUGAACACUAGGUGUCGGGGGAAUCGACCCCCUCGGUGUCGUAGCCAACGCGUUAAGUGUUCCGCCUGGGGAGUACGCACGCAAGUGUGAAACUCAAAGGAAUUGACGGGGGCCCGCACAAGCGGUGGAGUAUGUGGUUUAAUUCGAUGCAACGCGAAGAACCUUACCAGGGUUUGACAUCCUGCGAAUCUCUUGGAAACGAGAGAGUGCCUUCGGGAGCGCAGUGACAGGUGGUGCAUGGCUGUCGUCAGCUCGUGUCGUGAGAUGUUGGGUUAAGUCCCGCAACGAGCGCAACCCACGUCUUUAGUUGCCAGCAUUUAGUUGGGCACUCUAGAGAGACCGCCGGUGAUAAACCGGAGGAAGGUGUGGAUGACGUCAAGUCAUCAUGCCCCUUACAUCCUGGGCUACACACGUACUACAAUGCUACGGACAAAGGGCAGCAAGUUCGCGAGGACAAGCAAAUCCCAUAAACCGUGGCUCAGUUCAGAUCGUAGGCUGCAACUCGCCUACGUGAAGGAGGAAUCGCUAGUAAUCGCAGGUCAGCAUACUGCGGUGAAUACGUUCCCGGGCCUUGUACACACCGCCCGUCACACCAUGGAAGUUGGCCACGCCCGAAGCCGUUACUCCAACCCUCGGGAGGAGGACGUCGAAGGUGGGGCUGAUGACUGGGGUG